AUCUCCACCCCAUGCAGGGGCAAUCAGAGUUGACCCUUGGGAGAGAGUGCUCUCCUGUUAGAGUUGUACAUGCUAAGGAUCAGGUCAGCCUAGAGCCCCAAGUCAUCAGUGCCACCAAGAGAGAAGACCCACCUGAAGAGGAAGCCAACACCAUGGAAAACAGGGUUGGGGAGAGGGGAAUGGAGACCUGAUGAUGUGAAUCCCUGGAUCCAGCUGUGGCUAACAUAUUUGACCCUCUGCCAUCUGCUAUGUGAGCCAAAAAAUAUCCAGUUUUGCUUCAGCUUAUUUGAGCUGGGUUUCAGUCACUUGUGAAGAAAAUUCCACAAGCAAUUGGCUUGAAAAGUCUUCCAAAUUUGGAGAUUAAAUAUAUUCUUUUCAGACAUGUCAACUUUAAGAAACUUUAAAAGAAUUUCUUCCUUCCUCCCUGUUAGGGACUGAAUUAUGUCUUCCCUCAAAUUCAUAUGUUGAAGUCCUAAUCCUCAAUGUGACUGUAUUUGGUGACAGGUCCUUUAGGGAGGUAAUGAAGGUCACAGGGUGGAGUCCUGAUCCAGUAGUACUGGUGUUCUUAGAGGAAGAGAGACCAGGGCUCUCCUGCACUCUCACUCUCUCUCUCCUUGCACAGACAAGAGGCCAUGUGAGGACACAAUAAGAAGGUGGCCAUAAACAAGCCACGAAGGGAUACCUCACCAAACACCAACUCUGGCACCUUGGCACCUUGAUCUUGGACUUCCAGCCUGCAGAACUGUGAAAAAACAAAUGUCUGUUGUUUGGGUCAUCUGGUCAGUGGUAUUUUGUUAUGGCUGCUCAAGCAGGCUCCCUACUACUCAUUCCCUGUGAAGUUUCUGAAGGAGGCAACCAACAGUUUGUCCCAUUGUGAGGGUCACCCCAGUCCUGCUUUCUUCACCACCAACAGCCCUCAAAAGAAAAGCCAUGAUGAGGAAACUAGAGCCUGCCUUCCAAAUCUGGAAAUGCUAGAAGACACUAGUGACUCUAACAUAAUAAAGGAAGAAAUCCAAGAUGCUUUAGGCUAAUUUUUUUCAUAUUUUCUUCAAAAGUUACAGUAAUUUAAUAACCUCAUUCGAAAUCACCAUGACUGAAGAUCAAAAUCACAAUAUUGUUUUAAAUUUAUUAUGUAUCAUGACUCAAAAAACUCUCUAGAAUAAAUUCACCUUUGACACUAACUAAUGAAGACAAUUUGCUCUAAUUCAAUUGUAAGAGAAAAUAUUUCAAGUAAAGCUUACAAGAGGAUGAUUUUGAUUUUUUGGCUAGAAGACUUCAGUUGUAGACAAGAACCACCCUCCCCCCGAAAAAAUUUGUUAUAACAUACUUAAGAUGAUAAUGCUUGAUGUUUAUAUUGAUUUGCAUUCCUUGUGAUACUUUCUUAGCCCUCCAGGGAUCUCUGUCCCAUGAGUUGGGAUCACUGGGACAAAGAAACACAGAUUAUCUGCCUUAACGGACCACACUAGAUUUUCAUUUCUGCUUCCACACUGACUCUAUUAAACUACUACAUGUCAGGCGGCAUCCAGAAAACUCCAGUAUAUGCUUGUGAGAGGGGAAUGAAAGAAGCAAAUGAUGUCCAGGUGAUGUUGUGAAAAGUAUUUGAUCUCAUGGAACCUCUGAAAAGGUCUCUGGGACUCCUGGGGACCCCUGGAUCAUACUUUGAGACUGCUGCCUCAAGAGAGAAGAUGCAAAUAAAGCUGGUUUUCAUUGACUGA
Canis lupus familiaris (dog) is the source of this 1715-nucleotide long non-coding RNA. RefSeq lists it as uncharacterized. Lineage: Eukaryota; Metazoa; Chordata; Mammalia; Carnivora; Canidae. The record is from RefSeq and is a predicted model, not a curated record. The transcript has 3 exons.